AUUGCCGUCCGUCCGGUCCAGUCUCGGGGCAAAAGGGGACCCCCUUUGUACAUUUUAUCAUAAAACAGCUCGACCGGAAAACAAUUAUACGACGUUUUGACAUUUUCUCGAUAGUAAUUAUUUGCAACGGUUCAAAAUAAUUAAGAGAAAUCGAAUUAAAUUAAAAAGCGCGUUUUUUUCCCCCGACGCGAAUCGUUGUAGUACAUAGCAUAAUAUUGUGUUGCUAUUAUUACGGCACCAGACGGACGGAGAAAACGAAUUACGCGCAGAGGCCCCAGAAUCCAAUAAUAAUUUUUAGUUAAUUUUGU
Molecule: non-coding RNA, 308 nt
Organism: Cinara cedri
Lineage: Eukaryota; Metazoa; Arthropoda; Insecta; Hemiptera; Aphididae
Source: the annotation of a GenBank genome assembly